Molecule: ribosomal RNA, 248 nt
Filed under: uncultured bacterium
Lineage: Bacteria
Description: partial 16S ribosomal RNA
Rfam family: Bacterial small subunit ribosomal RNA
Source: RNAcentral
GACGUAGGGCGCGAGCGUUGUCCGGAUUUAUUGGGCGUAAAGAGCUCGUAGGCGGUCUGUCGCGUCUGCUGUGAAAACCCGAGGCUCAACCUCGGGCCUGCAGUGGGUACGGGCAGACUAGAGUGCGGUAGGGGGAGAAUGGAAUUCCUGGUGUAGAGGUGAAAUUCGUAGAUAUCGGGAGGAACACCAGUGGCGAAGGCGGCUCUCUGGGCAGAUACUGAGCUGAGACGCGAAAGCAUGGGGAGCAA